GAUGAACGCUGGCGGCGUGCCUAAUACAUGCAAGUCGAGCGAACAGACGCGGAGCUUGCUACUCUGACGUUAGCGGCGGACGGAUGAGUAACACGUGGAUCACCUACCUAUAAGACUGGGAUAACUUCGGGAAACCGGUGCUAAUACCGAAUCAUUGAUUCAACCGCAUGGUUGAAUAGUGAAAGCCGGUUUUGAUGUCCCUUCUAGAUAUAUCCGCGCCGCAUUAGCUAGUUGGUAAGGUAACGGCUUACCAAGGCAACCGUGCGUAGCCGACCUGCGAGCGUGUACGGCCACACAGGAACUGAGACGCGGUCCAGACUCCGACGGGAGGCAGAAGUAGGGAAGCUUCCGCAAUGUGCGAAAGCCUGACGGAGCAACGCCGCGUGAGUGAUGAAGGUCUUCGGAUCGUAAGACUCUGUUAGUAGGGAAGAACGAAUGUGUAAGUAACUAUGCACGUCGUGACGGUACCUAAUCAGAAAGCAACGGCUAACUACGUG
This 497-nucleotide ribosomal RNA is filed under the name uncultured bacterium. Its description in RNAcentral is "partial 16S ribosomal RNA". It matches the Rfam family "Bacterial small subunit ribosomal RNA", at positions 28 to 507 of the family's 1533-position model. The record is from RNAcentral.